This 435-nucleotide ribosomal RNA is filed under the name uncultured bacterium. RNAcentral's name for it is "bacterial SSU rRNA". It matches the Rfam family "Bacterial small subunit ribosomal RNA", at positions 30 to 469 of the family's 1533-position model. The record is from RNAcentral.
AUUGAACGCUGGCGGCAUGCCUUACACAUGCAAGUCGAACGGCAGCGGACCUUCGGGUGCCGGCGAGUGGCGAACGGGUGAGUAAUAUAUCGGAACGUACCUUUCAGUGGGGGAUAACGUAGCGAAAGUUACGCUAAUACCGCAUAUUCUGUGAGCAGGAAAGCAGGGGAUCGCAAGACCUUGCGCUGAUUGAGCGGCCGAUAUCAGAUUAGCUAGUUGGUGAGGUAAAGGCUCACCAAGGCGACGAUCUGUAGCGGGUCUGAGAGGAUGAUCCGCCACACUGGAACUGAGACACGGUCCAGACUCCUACGGGAGGCAGCAGUGGGGAAUUUUGGACAAUGGGCGCAAGCCUGAUCCAGCCAUGCCGCGUGAGUGAAGAAGGCCUCGGUUGUAAGACUCUUCGGUCCGGGUAACGGAAAGUACGACACGGGUUAA